CUCAGGAUGAACGCUGGCGGCGUGCCUAAUACAUGCAAGUCGAGCGAACGGACAGGAGUGCUUGCACUCCUUGAAGUUAGCGGCGGACGGGUGAGUAACACGUGGGUAACCUACCUAUAAGACUGGGAUAACUUCGGGAAACCGGAGCUAAUACCGGAUAAUAUAUACCUCCGCAUGGAGGAAUAGUCAAAGACGGUUCUGCUGUCACUUAUAGAUGGACCCGCGGUGUAUUAGCUAGUUGGUGAGGUAACGGCUCACCAAGGCAACGAUACAUAGCCGACCUGAGAGGGUGAUCGGCCACACUGGGACUGAGACACGGCCCAGACUCCUACGGGAGGCAGCAGUAGGGAAUCUUCCGCAAUGGACGAAAGUCUGACGGAGCAACGCCGCGUGAGUGAAGAAGGUUUUCGGAUCGUAAAACUCUGUUGUAAGGGAAGAACAAGUACGUUAGUAACUGAACGUACCUGACG
Molecule: ribosomal RNA, 470 nt
Filed under: Macrococcoides caseolyticum
Lineage: Bacteria; Bacillati; Bacillota; Bacilli; Caryophanales; Staphylococcaceae
Description: bacterial SSU rRNA
Rfam family: Bacterial small subunit ribosomal RNA
Source: RNAcentral